GAUGAACGCUGGCGGCGUGCCUAAUACAUGCAAGUCGAACGCAUUGUGGUUGAAAUGAUAUGAAGAACUUGUUCAGAUUUGAUUUUCAACAUUGCAAUGAGUGGCGAACGGGUGAGUAACACGUGGGAAACCUACCUCUUAGCAGGGGAUAACAUUUGGAAACAAAUGCUAAUACCGUAUAAUAAUUAAAACCGCAUGGUUUUAGUUUAAAAGAUGGUCUUGCUAUCACUAAGAGAUGGUCCCGCGGUGUAUUAGUUAGUUGGUGAGGUAAUGGCUCACCAAGACAAUGAUACAUAGCCGAGUUGAGAGACUGACCGGCCACAAUGGGACUGAGACACGGCCCAUACUCCUACGGGAGGCAGCAGUAGGGAAUCUUCCACAAUGGACGAAAGUCUGAUGGAGCAACGCCGCGUGUGUGAUGAAGGGUUUCGGCUCGUAAAACACUGUUGUAAGAGAAGAAUGACAUUGAGAGUAACUGUUCAAUGUGUGACGGUAUCUUACCAGAAAGGAACGGCUAAAUACGUGCCAGCAGCCGCGGUAAUACGUAUGUUCCAAGCGUUAUCCGGAUUUAUUGGGCGUAAAGCGAGCGCAGACGGUUAUUUAAGUCUGAAGUGAAAGCCCUCGGCUCAACCGAGGAAUUGCUUUGGAAACUGGAUAACUUGAGUGCAGUAGAGGAAAGUGGAACUCCAUGUGUAGCGGUGAAAUGCGUAGAUAUAUGGAAGAACACCAGUGGCGAAGGCGGCUUUCUGGACUGUAACUGACGUUGAGGCUCGAAAGUGUGGGUAGCAAACAGGAUUAGAUACCCUGG
Molecule: ribosomal RNA, 808 nt
Filed under: uncultured Weissella sp.
Lineage: Bacteria; Bacillati; Bacillota; Bacilli; Lactobacillales; Lactobacillaceae
Description: bacterial SSU rRNA
Rfam family: Bacterial small subunit ribosomal RNA
Source: RNAcentral